GUUAGGAAUAUUGGACAAUGGGCGAAAGCCUGAUCCAGCCAUGCCGCGUGAACGAUGAAGGCCUUCGGGUUGUAACGUUCUUUAGCCGAUGAUUAUCAUGACUGUAGUCGGAAAAUAAGCCCCGGCUAACUUCGUGCCAGCAGCCGCGGUAAUACGAAGGGGGCGAGCGUUAUUCGGAAUCACUGGGCGUAAAGCGUCCGUAGGCGGUUUUGUAAGUUAGGAGUGAAAGCCCAGGGCUCAACCUUGGAAUUGCUCUUAAAACUGCAAGGCUCGAAUCUCGGAGAGGAUAGCGGAAUUUCCAGUGUAGCAGUGAAAUGUGUAGAUAUUGGAAGGAACACCAGUGGCGUAAGCGGCUAUCUGGACGAGUAUUGACGCUGAGGCACGAAAGCGUGGGGAUCAAACAGGAUUAGAUACCCUAGUAGUCC
RNAcentral lists this ribosomal RNA (425 nucleotides) under uncultured bacterium. Its description in RNAcentral is "partial 16S ribosomal RNA". It matches the Rfam family "Bacterial small subunit ribosomal RNA", at positions 354 to 796 of the family's 1533-position model. The record is from RNAcentral.